CAAACGCACCUCGAGGGUAAGAGGUUAGCACGUCGGAGUUUAAAUGUCCGAGUUGGACCAACUGUGAAGGAUUUACUCUCCACUGUGAGGCCGAGGAGGAGCACUUCUGUACUCCAACAAAAGGCGACCUGCCGUACCCAUCAUCUGGACCCUCCAGGAUACUGCUAGUCCGAUUGUCCAGGAUGAUCCCACUUCCUGUCUCGCUGCCAUAUAUGGAGUUGCAGCGUGGCGUGCCCACCCUGCUGGAGAGCCCUGAGGUGAGCCAGGUUUUAACUGGAUAUACCUCUGCUCCUCUACAUCUGGAUCAUCCAUCUGAAGUUCCUUCCUCAUGGUGCCCUCUAUUUCUGCUGCCAGAGAGUCCUGGAGAAGAAG
This is a long non-coding RNA of Etheostoma cragini (Arkansas darter), 372 nucleotides long. RefSeq lists it as uncharacterized. The transcript has 3 exons. The record is from RefSeq and is a predicted model, not a curated record. NCBI's taxonomy places the organism in Eukaryota, Metazoa, Chordata, Actinopteri, Perciformes, Percidae.